GUAUCACAACCAGUGACAGCAUGAAAGAAGGGUAGGGCUUCACAUUGCUCCCUACUCAACGAGCUUUGUGUAAUGUUAUGAAUUGGAAUUCCUUACCUCUGCCAUCAUCAAGAGAAGAAAGUGGAAUGUUAAUAGGUAGCGAAUCAAGUUUCUCGAAUUCUUUCAAGUUUUCUGCAAUUGUCUUGUAACUUGAGCCAGCAAGUAAAGUAUUUGAAGCUUU
This is a long non-coding RNA of Xenia sp. Carnegie-2017, 220 nucleotides long. RefSeq lists it as uncharacterized. NCBI's taxonomy places the organism in Eukaryota, Metazoa, Cnidaria, Anthozoa, Malacalcyonacea, Xeniidae. The transcript is spliced from 2 exons. The record is from RefSeq and is a predicted model, not a curated record.